This 729-nucleotide ribosomal RNA is filed under the name uncultured bacterium. RNAcentral describes it as "bacterial SSU rRNA". It matches the Rfam family "Bacterial small subunit ribosomal RNA", at positions 1 to 716 of the family's 1533-position model. The record is from RNAcentral.
UAGAGUUUGAUCCUGGCUCAGAAUCAACGCUGGCGGCGUGCCUAAUACAUGCAAGUCGAACGCGAAAGUGGAGCAAUCCAUGAGUAGAGUGGCAAACGGGUGAGUAACACGUGGGUGACCUGCCUUAGAGUGGGGGAUAACGUCCCGAAAGGGACGCUAAUACCGCAUAACAUCCUGCCUUUUAAGAGGUGGUGAUCAAAGCCGGGGAUCGCAAGACCUGGCGCUUUUAGAGGGGCCCGCGCCUGAUUAGCUAGUUGGUGAGGUAACGGCUCACCAAGGCAACGAUCAGUAUCCGGCCUGAGAGGGCGGACGGACACACUGGGACUGAGACACGGCCCAGACUCCUACGGGAGGCAGCAGUAGGGAAUUGUUCGCAAUGGGCGCAAGCCUGACGACGCAACGCCGCGUGGAGGAUGAAGACCUUCGGGUCGUAAACUCCUUUCGAUCGAGACGAAUGGCUUCCGGCUUAAUACGUCGGGAGAAUGACGGUACCGAGAGAAGAAGCCCCGGCUAACUCCGUGCCAGCAGCCGCGGUAAUACGGGGGGGGCAAGCGUUGUUCGGAAUUACUGGGCGUAAAGGGCUCGUAGGUGGCCAACUAAGUCAGACGUGAAAUCCCUCGGCUUAACCGGGGAACUGCGUCUGAUACUGGAUGGCUUGAGAUUGGGAGAGGGAUGCGGAAUUCCAGGUGUAGCGGUGAAAUGCGUAGAUAUCUGGAGGACACGGGUGGC